This 626-nucleotide ribosomal RNA is filed under the name uncultured bacterium. RNAcentral describes it as "bacterial SSU rRNA". It matches the Rfam family "Bacterial small subunit ribosomal RNA", at positions 764 to 1390 of the family's 1533-position model. The record is from RNAcentral.
GGGAGCAAACAGGAUUAGAUACCCUGGUAGUCCACGCCGUAAACGAUGUCGACUUGGAGGUUGUGCCCUUGAGGCGUGGCUUCCGGAGCUAACGCGUUAAGUCGACCGCCUGGGGAGUACGGCCGCAAGGUUAAAACUCAAAUGAAUUGACGGGGGCCCGCACAAGCGGUGGAGCAUGUGGUUUAAUUCGAUGCAACGCGAAGAACCUUACCUGGUCUUGACAUCCACGGAAGUUUUCAGAGAUGAGAAUGUGCCUUCGGGAACCGUGAGACAGGUGCUGCAUGGCUGUCGUCAGCUCGUGUUGUGAAAUGUUGGGUUAAGUCCCGCAACGAGCGCAACCCUUAUCCUUUGUUGCCAGCGGUCCGGCCGGGAACUCAAAGGAGACUGCCAGUGAUAAACUGGAGGAAGGUGGGGAUGACGUCAAGUCAUCAUGGCCCUUACGACCAGGGCUACACACGUGCUACAAUGGCGCAUACAAAGAGAAGCGACCUCGCGAGAGCAAGCGGACCUCAUAAAGUGCGUCGUAGUCCGGAUUGGAGUCUGCAACUCGACUCCAUGAAGUCGGAAUCGCUAGUAAUCGUGGAUCAGAAUGCCACGGUGAAUACGUUCCCGGGCCUUGUACACAC